Mus pahari (shrew mouse) is the source of this 699-nucleotide RNA transcript. It is a transcript of the gene named E3 ubiquitin-protein ligase TRAF7 pseudogene, with no coding region annotated. Lineage: Eukaryota; Metazoa; Chordata; Mammalia; Rodentia; Muridae. The transcript has a single exon. The record is from RefSeq and is a predicted model, not a curated record.
UUAACAAUUAAAUUGAAGAAAGAACUCACAGGCCUCAACCACUGGGUGCGGGCCCUGGUGGCAGCACAGAGCUAUCUGUACAGUGGCUCUUACCAGACAAUCAAGAUCUGGGACAUUCGGACCCUUGACUGCAUCCAUGUCCUGCAGACAUCUGGUGGCAGUGUGUAUUCCAUUGCUGUGACGAAUCACCACAUUGUGGCACCUAUGAGAACCUUAUUCAUGUGUGGGACAUUGAAUCCAAAGAGCAGGUGCGGACCCUCACAGGUCACGUGGGCACAGUAUAUGCCCUGGCAGUCAUUUCAACACCAGACCAGACCAAAGUCUUCAGUGCAUCCUAUGACCGGUCCCUCAGGGUCUGGAGUAUGGACAACAUGAUCUGCACACAGACGCUGCUGCGCCAUCAGGACAGUGUAACUGCACUGGCUGUUUCCCGGGGCUGGCUCUUCUCAGGGGCUGUGGACAGCACCGUGAAGGUCUGGACAUGCUAACAGAAUCCAGGCUUGGCUCCCCCUGGGUCUGUAAGUUAGCUGGACCUCCAUUGGAAGGUCUGCCUGUCUGUAGAGACAGGUAGACAGGCACAGCUAGGCAGUGUCCUCUCUGCCUAUGCUUGGCGAGGGAUCUUUCCGAAGGCCCCGCUGUUACUUGUACCAGAGAAACACCCAGGCCCUCCUCUGGGCGCCAGGUCUGAUGCUUGCCCGG